Long non-coding RNA from Drosophila serrata, 242 nucleotides. RefSeq lists it as uncharacterized. The record is from RefSeq and is a predicted model, not a curated record. Lineage: Eukaryota; Metazoa; Arthropoda; Insecta; Diptera; Drosophilidae.
GGAAAUGUUGUUGGAUGUAAACGCAACGAAGUUUGCUGUGCUGCAGAGGAUGUACUUAAUGUUGCGACUUGCGAUGGGGAUUACGAAUGUGUCAAUGGGAAUCUGUGCCGAGAAGAUAUAGGUUUCCGCAAAGCCGGUCAAUGCCCCCCGGAAAAGAUAUGCUGUUUAGUUGAAAAUAUUUCUAUCCUAAGCAUUAAAGACCCCCUUUAGAGCUUUGCUCUCGUUUACUUAUUGAUGAACAC